UGGAUUUGGUCUUUAACAGGUCCGCUGCGAUGCUACUAAAUGCUCUAGUGACCAUACUUCUGGAACUCCCAUUCACUGUUAUCUGCAAAGUGAGAAGACACAAAAGUAAAUUAGAGUUCUCAAAAUUGAGAGAAAGUAACAACCACUGAAACAAGAAUUUGAGAAAAUAUACGAAUUGGACCCAGCGUCUCAAAAAGGCUCAGAGCAUGAAGAAUAGCAACAUAAAGAGGAAGAAGAUCAUCAACAUACUGCUAGGGAUGAACUCGAAUGAGAGCCAGUUAAACAAUUUGCAAGCCAUUACCAUCCCUAACUGCCAACCAUAUGACUUUUGAUGGAUGCCAGGCUAAAGAGUGAUUUGUGGAAACACAAAACACCAGAUUGUUUGUCAUCCUAACAUGGUGGAUGCCUAUUGUAUGCUGCCUUUCUUCACAAUCCAAAGAAACUGGACUGUUACUAUUAACCAGACAAUUUCAUGGCACAACAGAGUCUAGAGCGAACCACACUCAAAGAAGAUCUUCCAGCUACCAACAACCUUUGACACCAGCACACUCAGGAUAUUAAUACGCCUGCGCCAUGCAACGUCAUUUCUAACAACUAUGCGUGCAUGAACUUUAUAUUGUGUCAAUGAUGGGUAACUGAGUCACAGAACGAUUGUGUGUGUGGUAUCCAGAAAUCCACAACGGUUUGGUACUCAUGCGAGCAACAUAUAGCGAUCCAAUUAUUUAUGUAAAGCAACCCAACCAGAAGCAUAUAAAAAGGAUCA
Molecule: long non-coding RNA, 763 nt
Organism: Rhododendron vialii
Lineage: Eukaryota; Viridiplantae; Streptophyta; Magnoliopsida; Ericales; Ericaceae
Exons: 2
Source: RefSeq, a predicted model, not a curated record